RNAcentral lists this ribosomal RNA (253 nucleotides) under uncultured bacterium. Its description in RNAcentral is "partial 16S ribosomal RNA". It matches the Rfam family "Bacterial small subunit ribosomal RNA", at positions 524 to 776 of the family's 1533-position model. The record is from RNAcentral.
UACGUAGGGUGCGAGCGUUAAUCGGAAUUACUGGGCGUAAAGCGUGCGUAGACGGUUAUGUAAGUCAGAUGUGAAAGCCCCGGGCUCAACCUGGGAAUUGCAUUUGAGACUGUGUAGCUAGGGUGCGGAAGAGGGAAGCGGAAUUUCCGGUGUAGCGGUGAAAUGCGUAGAUAUCGGAAGGAACACCAGUGGCGAAAGCGGCUUCCUGGUCCAGCACCGACGUUCAGGCACGAAAGCGUGGGGAGCAAACAGG